This is an RNA transcript of Carassius carassius (crucian carp), 6333 nucleotides long. It is a transcript of the gene named zinc finger protein 865-like, with no coding region annotated. The record is from RefSeq and is a predicted model, not a curated record. The transcript is spliced from 3 exons. Lineage: Eukaryota; Metazoa; Chordata; Actinopteri; Cypriniformes; Cyprinidae.
AAUGUGAGGUUGCACUAUUUUUGAAAAUGCUUCUGCUGCUUCUGGCCACAACUCGGUAGAAAAGCAUCAUAGAAAUAUUGUUGCUGCUCAGAGAGCAGAAGGUGUUGCCAUUGCGCACCCAUGUUUCAGUAACUGGGAGAUGUUCCAGUUUGGAAAAUACAAUGUGGACAUCAUAGAGAUGCUGAGUGGACACCAAUCCCAUCAGUUCAAAAGUCUUGGAUUAGAGCGACAACUUCAACACCAACAGCAAGUGCAACUUCACCAACACCAGUUACAGCAGCAGCAACAGCAGCAAGGUGAGACAUCUGGGUCAAUUUUGUCUGGACUUGGCUUAGGCUCACUACAAGCAUCUAGAGGCAGUGCCUUUACAGAUUCUGCAUCAAUUUUUGCAAAAAUGAGUGCACCUCCUCCAUCUCUGCCGCAGCAAUCCCUCUCUUCAUCCUCUCAAAGUUUGAGGAAAUCCAGCAAAAUGUCUGGAAGCAGCAGUAGUAGUGGUGGAGGUCAUGUGAGUGGAUAUCCCCAGUUUUUGCGCUCAUUUCACCCUUCUGAGGCAACCCUUGCACAAGAGCAGUUACAUUCAGGAGUAGGGCGAUUUGAUCAUUUUGCCAGCAAUAGUGGAAGUGGAGGUACUGGAGGGGCAAUUGGAGGACUGGUUUCAUCUGUUCCACCACCACCACCCCCAUUGCAUCCUGGCCUGUCAGUACCUCAGGCCUCCCCUGGACAACCGUCUUCCUCCCCAUCUCCUUCAAGUUCUGUUUCAACAUCCAAUAACCCUCCCAGCAGUAGUGCAGUAACUACCUUUAGUCAUCAAUUAGCAGGAUCUCAGUCUGACGCCCGAAGCCUACAUCAACAGUUUAGCUGUAUGUUAGCCGCAAAUCAGUAUUUUCUUUCCGGAGUACCAGCCAAUUCCAGUCUAGAACAAUUUUUAGUUCAGCAAGGCAGUCAUAACCAUCUUGGUCUUGGUCUGGGCCAAGCUGCAGGAGAAACAAGUUCAGCCCUUGCGCCACCCCCCGCUCUUCAUUCUUCACACACUCAUGGUCACUCAACUACUCUAUCACAGCCUCAACAGCCACCAUCACAACAGCAGCAACUGCCACCUCACACUUUGUCUCACCCUCACCCAUAUCCACACCAUCCACUGCACUCCUCAUCGCAACCUUCUUCGCUCGGAGGUUUUGACUUUCAAGGAAUUCCAGUACUCUCUUCAAACCAGCUAGCAUCUCUAAUGCAGCAGGAAGCUGGUUUGCCGCUUCCACUUCCUCUACACCUGUCUUUAACAAAAGAGGAGAGUAAAGGUGAUAGUGCUUUCGGAGGAAGUGCUGGUGGAAGGAGAAAGAAAGCCAUGGCUGGCUACCUGCCACAGAGAAAGACUGAAAGCAGCAACAACAACAGCAGCAGCCCUACAAACCCCAACAGUAGUACUUCAGGGGGACUCAACCAAGAGAACUCACCAGGCUUGGAUGGAGGUGGGGGUGUUAGUUUGUCAGGUAUUGGCAGAGACCCUUCUUCUCACCUAACCUCAUCGUCCUCUACUUCUGUUGUCUUAUCAUCUUCUGCAUCCUCUUCUACAUCAGCAUCAGUCUUGGUGACAAAUGGCUCCAAAACAGGCAGCCAUGGUACCAUACCACCUCAUUCUCAGCCUGAACAAGAACCCCUUUAUCAUUGUGGUGAGUGUGGCAAAACUUUCACACAUCUCUCUAGUCUGCGAAGGCACCUACGUAGUCAUGAGCUAACCACAGCUGGCACAAGUGGCACGAGAAGUAACAUUUUAAACCCAGUUCUGCAUCCUUCCGAUCCAAGUAUUCCCCACUCUACUCAAGAGGGCACAGCCUCAUCUUCGUGUGGCAGUCCUGACAAGACCUUUCAUUGUUCUGAGUGUGGAAAAGGUUUUAAGAAAAAGGGGCACUUACUUCAACAUGGUGUCAUCCACUCUGGCGCACGGCCCUAUGCCUGCACUACUUGUAGUCGUGCUUUCAAUCGUCGUGAGUCACUCACCCGCCAUGAAAAAAUACAUGAAGAGAAACCAUUCCGCUGUCCAGCUUGUGGUCGCUGUUUUCGGGAAAGUACAUCCCUUUUGAACCAUGCAGCCUCGGGCACCUGUGGCAAGUCAGGGCGUACACCAAGACCUAAGCAUGAAAGUAAUAUAGAAAACAGGAGCAAUAAAGCUGGGGGCUCCCAAGAUGGAAUAGCAACUAAUGCAGUGGUCUGUUAUGCAGGUUCUUACCGGAGUGAUGAUUUCAGAGAUGACUACAAGGACCAGCGCUCUCAAAGUAACUUGUAUUCUGGAAUAACCCCAUGUGGUGGUGGCAGCAUGACAGGGCCUCCACUUAGAAAGGCACCUUUAGCUCCUACUCUGCAUCCACACCCACAAAACCAAAGUCAGCAUCAUCAUCAAGAGCCACAUCUCCCGCUUUCUUCCCUGUUAGAGGAUUCUGAAGAUGAUGUAACUAGCUCUGUCAACAGUGCCAUUUCUGCUAUUACUGCUGCAGCUGCAAAUUCUAUGAGUGGUGAUCUCCAUAGUGGAGGUAGAGGAGAUGAUCGAAGAGAUAUCAUUGGUGGAUUGCUUGGAGGUCUGGGUCUAGGGCCUCUUGCCUCACCUAGUGGUCCGUUAUUAACAUCUGUCCUGGAAAAGUCCUAUAGAGGAACUACUGACUCAGGUGCAGUGACCCUCAACCAGCAAACAAAUCUGCAUGCACCUGGUGGAAAGCCCAAGCGCCCUCGUAAGCCUCGCAAGAAGAAUGAACCUGGGGUGGUUGGUGCUGAGCCUCCUAAAAGGAGGCAGCCCUCUCACAGACCAAGAGUUCCUGUUGGUGAUGUUAGACCGUAUUUGUGUAGCAUCUGUGGUCGAAGAUUUGCAAGAAAAGAGACCUUGCGGAGGCAUGACAGAGUACACACAGGAGAAAAGUCUCACCAUUGUACUGUGUGUGGCAAGUACUUCAGAGAGGCAUUUCAUCUUAGCAAGCACCACACAGUGCAUUCUGGAGAGAAGAACUACAAGUGUAUUCUAUGUGGGAAGGAGUUUGGAUAUGCUCAGAGCCUUAAAAGACAUGGCAAGCUACACCAAAAAGGAGAAAUUGAAGAAGUGCCAACAACGCCAGGUGGGGAAAACCUUAACAGCUAUCCAUCCUCAAUCCAUCCAUCCUCUGGUGGCAGCUUGAUUCAAGGGGGUCAAAACAGCUCUUCUUCAUUUUAUUCAUACACUCAAGAUGUCAAACAACAGACAACAACCACUCAGCCACCUCCUAGACUGUACACAUGUGCUAUAUGCUGGAAAUCAUUCCGCCAUCACUUUCACUUAACGGCACAUCACCAAACUGUUCAUGAGGGUGGUGGAGAAAAGCUGUUUUCUUGUGAGGUUUGUGGUAAGGCUUUUGCGUACUCUAACAGCCUUACACGACACAGGCUUUCACAGCAUGGCUUAACACGGACUGGCCAACCAGUCCCUCAGAGGAGUACAGGGGAAGACAACAGUGUUGGUGGUUCAAUAUCUGAAAGUGAAGCUGCUACAAAUGCUUUGCUUCAUAUUGCGCCACCUUGUGAAACACAUGCUGAACAACAUGGAGUUCUUCAUAGCCAGCAGGCUCCUCCCCAAACACAAGCUGGCUACUCCCCUCUGUUCUAUAUACCCAAUACCAAUGUUGCACACACUUCUUCAUCUAAUGCCUCCUCUUAUUCUCAUUCUCUGCCGUCAACUUCCUCAGGGCCUCUUCUUUGUAACCAUCAGCAACAACACAUUGGGAUAAAGGGUGAACCCAUUUAUCACACUGGUCAUGGGCAUACUCUUACUCCAAACAUACCUGUGCGUUCUCUCAUGUUGCCUCCAUCAGAUCCACAUCAGCAACACCACAACUCCCAGCAGCAUUCAGAUGAGAUUCAAUCUACACAACACCACACUUUUCAAAGCCAAGAGGAGUCGAGGAGACGGAAGAAAAAAAAAAAAAGAAUGCAAGAGAGAGAGGAGAUAGGCUACAAAUGGACCCCUGCGCAAAAAGUAGAGAAAGACCAGGUGGAGAUCUCCCUUGGGGAAAGGCAGAGAAAUAAGAGAAGAAAACUUAAGAGAAAAAGGAGAGCCAUUCACAGGACGCAACAUAAAAUUAAGAAUUGCAUGGCUGUGCUCCUGAGAAUCAGACAUGGAAGUGGAGGAAGUGCAGUGUAUGAACUGGGCCUUCCAGGUGGGCUGAAGUUUAACAGGCUUCGGUCCCUCAAAGUUCCUCAAAAACGACAGCCCUGUCCCCUUUGCCUUGGUGUUACCUUUUCUCAACAGGUAGCCCUUAAAAUUCAUAUAGCAGCUAGACAUUGUCCUAAAGUGAAAGGCCUUCAGCAUCGUUUGAAAUGUCCAGUUUGUGGAAAACAGUCUCGCAAGUUCCUUUCAGCUCUCAUUCACAGAAGCUCUCAUUUAGCCAACAGAGCUUUUUCUUGUAAACAUUGUCCAUGUCGUUUCUGGAAUGCAAUGCUCCUCACACGGCACAAGAAGGUGUGUCGAGGGACGUUGGCAAAGUUUCAACGAAAUAGGGCUCUUUGUGUUAAAUUAGUCAUGGGAUCAACAUACAGAAGGUCUGAGUGUAAAAGGAACUCCUCUUCCUUGCAUAUGGAAUAUAGUAACUAAGUUUUGCCAUUAAACUCAUUUUCAUAUGCACUUUGAGAACAGAAGUGUUGCGAUUUUCAUGAGAAGAACUGAAAAUUUUAACUGAAUACAUCUUAGGCUCAUGUAGGCAUUGACUUGUAUUUUAUGAGAGCAUUUUCAUUUCUCUCUCAUUCAUAUUAUAUUUCCUCUUGUAACUUUGACCCCUGAAAAUGAACACCUUCAACAAACUCACAGAUGUAUCAAAAACAUUUGUUUUAAUGAAAUGCUUAGCCUGCCCAUCUAUCCAAUACUCCACUGGUCUUCUAAGAGGAAACUCUUGUUCAUAUUGAAAUGAUCCUUGGCUGGCAGUAGAUUAAGUUUCUGUGAUUUGGCGAAUAUUGUACUGUGCCCUUAAAGUAGGCUAUUGCUCACCUCAACAGAUGCUCUGUAGAAUAAUUCUGUCUAUGAUAUAUAUUGUGUUGUUGGUAUUCACUUAGAGCAAGUGUGGAGAUGUGAUUUUGUUAAUGUAAAAAGUGCAUUCAGUAUCAGAAGGAGAAAAAAUGGUCCUGCUAGGAGUAUGUGUAUUUUAUUUUAAGGAGUAUUUAAAUUACUGCAUGUUGGACAUUACUGUCCAUGCGUUGAACAGUCAACAUGUGUGAUGAGUCUGUGGACUCUGAUAGUAACAUGACAAAUCCAAUUGAAGAUUUAUCUUAACUCUUAAUAGAGGAAACAUAAUAAAUGAAUGCAUAAUAAUGAUACAUGCUCAGGGCUCCAGACUAUUUGAGAGUAAAGCACUGAGCUUGAGUUGGCAAGCAUACAACAUUUACUUUUAUUAACGACAGUUAUGUGCAAAAUUAAAUAUUUUAUGGAAAAUGUAUAUAUUCCAUUCUUAUUAUGGUUAUCAAAGGAGAGCUCUUUACUUGCUUUGUGUGAUUCAGUAGCAAAUUUAAGAAAAGUUUGUUUUUCAUAUACAAAAGAAAAUGCAAAAGAGUAGAAAUCAAUAACUAAUGAGCAAAAAAGUGAUUAUCUUCUGCCAUCUACUGGUUACAAUGUUGGUUUUGGGUUUAGUUACUCUAUAAUAAUCGUUUGUUUAUCACAAAGUAAAAUGUGGACAUCCCAUUAAAAUCAAAUUUAAAUUGGAUCAUUUUUAGAGCUUUAAAGUGCUGUAAAUUGUUGUGUUAAAUACUUGAAAGUCAUUGAAAAGUGCUUGAACUCUCUCUCAAAAGGUUGUACAAACCUUACAAUUGAUAAUAAAAAUAACAUUUGACUGCCUGCCACAACACCAUGGUUAUAGUUAGAGUUACUACUUCUGAUUUUCAAUGUCAGCACUGUUUGAUCACUUUAUAACAAACGCUUCUCAUUGGAUCUCGCAGUGCUGUGCAUAUAAAUUCUGGUUCCCGAGUAAACCUCUGAGCUUCUGAGUUUGUGUAGCGCUCAGUUUUUGGUCCGAGCUGAUAAACGUUUUGUUAUGCAUUUGCCGUUUGAUGUUUCUCAUAUGCAACAGAAAUGGCAGUUGAGCAACGCCGUGGUCGCACCAGUGGUCAAAAAUGGUCGCAGUCUGGAGCCCUGAUGCUGGUGGACAAUUCUUAAUAUCAAAUGUGAGCCCUGUUUUGAUUUAUUUACUGUUCUUAAAGAAAACCAUCAUAAAGAAGGUAAUGCCAGAAUUUAACAAAAAAAUGUUUUCCCUACAUAGCCAGUCAAAGAACAAAAAAUUUAAUACUGUCAGAUUAUUUAAUUAUCUCAGAUUGUUACAGUUAAAACACAUUUAU